AGUGAACGCUGGCGGUAUGCCUAACACAUGCAAGUCGAACGGCAGCACAGUAAGAGCUUGCUCUUCCGGAUGGCGAGUGGCGGACGGGUGAGGAAUACAUCGGAAUCUACUUUUUCGUGGGGGAUAACGUAGGGAAACUUACGCUAAUACAGCAUACGACCUACGUGUGAAAGCAGGGGAUCUUCGUACCUUGCUCGAUUGAAUGAGCCGAUGUCGGAUUAGCUAGUUGACGGGGUAAAGGCCCACCAAGGCGACGAUCCGUAGCUGGUCUGAGAGGAUGAUCAGCCAAACUGGAACUGAGACACGGUCCAGACUCCUACGGGAGGCAGCAGUGGGGAAUAUUGGACAAUGGGGGCAAGCCUGAUCCAGCCAUACCGCGUGGGUGAAGAAGGCCUUCGGGUUGUAAAGCCCUUUUGUUGGGAAAGAAAAGCAGCAGGUUAAUACCUCGCUGUUCUGACGGUACCCAAAGAAUAAGCACCGGCUAACUUCGUG
This 492-nucleotide ribosomal RNA is filed under the name uncultured bacterium. RNAcentral describes it as "partial 16S ribosomal RNA". It matches the Rfam family "Bacterial small subunit ribosomal RNA", at positions 29 to 507 of the family's 1533-position model. The record is from RNAcentral.